CCUACGGGAGGCAGCAGUCGAGAAUCAUUCACAAUGGGGGAAACCCUGAUGCUGCGACGCCGCGUGCAGGAAUGAAGGUCUUCGGAUUGUAAACCCCUGUCAUGUGGGAGCAAAUUAAAAAGAUAGUACCACAAGAGGAAGAGACGGCUAACUCUGUGCCAGCAGCCGCGGUAAUACAGAGGUCUCAAGCGUUGUUCGGAAUCACUGGGCGUAAAGGGUGCGUAGGCUGUUUCGUAAGUCGUGUGUGAAAGGCGCGGGCUCAACCCGCGGACGGCACAUGAUACUGCGUGACUAGAGUAAUGGAGGGGGAACCGGAAUUCUCGGUGUAGCAGUGAAAUGCGUAGAUAUUGAGAGGAACACUCGUGGCGAAGGCGGGUUCCUGGACAUUAACUGACGCUGAGGCACGAAGGCCAGGGGAGCGAAAGGGAUUAGAUACCCUUGUAGUC
RNAcentral lists this ribosomal RNA (446 nucleotides) under uncultured bacterium. Its description in RNAcentral is "partial 16S ribosomal RNA". It matches the Rfam family "Bacterial small subunit ribosomal RNA", at positions 338 to 795 of the family's 1533-position model. The record is from RNAcentral.